Long non-coding RNA from Olea europaea var. sylvestris, 460 nucleotides. RefSeq lists it as uncharacterized. The record is from RefSeq and is a predicted model, not a curated record. The transcript is spliced from 2 exons. NCBI's taxonomy places the organism in Eukaryota, Viridiplantae, Streptophyta, Magnoliopsida, Lamiales, Oleaceae.
ACAAAAUGUAGCCAUUCCAACUCAUUUUCCCAAAUAAUAUAGCUAACCAAAUGGUUCGGCAAUUCAUUUGGGCUCAGAGAAAUUGUUACCGUCCUGAAAGAAAAACAACGCAGGCAUUCGAAUUUGUUCGAAAUUUCGAAAAUUGUAUGGAUCGUCACAUACCCCUGGAGGAGGAGGAGGUUGUGUUGGUGGUGCUAGAGAGAGCCUUACACAAAAACUUACAACUAAUGAUGCGUUAACUUAUUUGAAGGAAGUUAAGGAUAUGUUCCAAGAUCAAAGUAAAAAACAUGACAAGUUCCUUGAUGUCAAGAAAUAUUUCAAAGUAAAUGAAUUUCUCUUGUUAAGAUUAACUUGUGCACAUCGGCCGUGAAUGGAUCUUUUCUUUGUAACUUUAUAUUAAUUUGUUUCUGGCAGAAUCGAUUCAAUUGGCUUGAUAAUGAAGGUGAGAGAGUUUUUCAAA